Molecule: ribosomal RNA, 493 nt
Filed under: uncultured bacterium
Lineage: Bacteria
Description: partial 16S ribosomal RNA
Rfam family: Bacterial small subunit ribosomal RNA
Source: RNAcentral
AUUGAACGCUGGCGGCAUGCUUUACACAUGCAAGUCGAACGGUAACAGGUUAAGCUGACGAGUGGCGAACGGGUGAGUAAUGCAUCGGAACGUGCCCGGUCGUGGGGGAUAACGCAGCGAAAGCUGCGCUAAUACCGCAUACGAUCUGAGGAUGAAAGCGGGGGACCGUAAGGCCUCGCGCGAUCGGAGCGGCCGAUGUCAGAUUAGGUAGUUGUUGGGGUAAAGGCUCACCAAGCAAACGAUCUGUAGCUGGUCUGAGAGGACGACCAGCCACACUGGGACUGAGACACGGCCCAGACUCCUACGGGAGGCAGCAGUGGGGAAUUUUGGACAAUGGGCGAAAGCCUGAUCCAGCAAUGCCGCGUGCAGGAAGAAGGCCUUCGGGUUGUAAACUGCUUUUGUACGGAGCGAAAAGGUCUCCUCUAAUACAGGGGGCUCAUGACGGUACCGUAAGAAUAAGCACCGGCUAACUACGUGCCAGCAGUCGCCGUAA